GCUUGUCUCAAAGAUUAAGCCAUGCAUGUCUAAGUAUAACUCUUUUACUUUGAAAACUGCGAACGGCUCAUUAUAUCAGUUAUAGUUUCUUUGAUAGUCCCUUACUACUUGGAUACCCGUAGUAAUUCUAGAGCUAAUACAUGCAUCAAUACCCAACUGUUCGCGGAAGGGUAGUAUUUAUUAGGUAUAGACCAACCCUCUUCGGAGGUGCUUUGGUGAUUCAUAAUAACUCCUCGAAUCGCAUGGCCUUGCGCCGGCGAUGUUUCAUUCAAAUUUCUGCCCUAUCAAUUUGAUGGUAGGAUAGAGGCCUACCAUGGUGGUAACGGGUGACGGAGAAUUAGGGUUCGAUUCCGGAGAGGGAGCCUGAGAAACGGCUACCACAUCCAAGGAAGGCAGCAGG
This 400-nucleotide ribosomal RNA is filed under the name uncultured Katablepharidophyta. RNAcentral describes it as "partial small subunit ribosomal RNA". It matches the Rfam family "Eukaryotic small subunit ribosomal RNA", at positions 30 to 432 of the family's 1831-position model. The record is from RNAcentral. Lineage: Eukaryota; Cryptophyceae; Kathablepharidacea.